GAUAAACGCUGGCGGCGUGCCUAAUGCAUGCAAGUCGCACGGGGUGUCACUUCGGUGGCGCCGAGUGGCGAACGGGUGAGGAACGCGUGGACAACCUACCCCGGCGUGGGGGAUACCCGCCAGAAAUGGCGGCUAAUACCGCGUACGGUCGCCGGACGACGGGUUCGGCGAAGAAAGCAGCGAUGCGCGCUGGGAGGGGUCUGCGGCCGAUUAGCUGGUUGGCGGGGUAGUGGCCCACCAAGGCGAUGAUCGGUAGCUGGUCCGAGAGGAUGAUCAGCCACACGGGGACUGAGACACGGCCCCGACUCCUACGGGAGGCAGCAGCAAGGAAUUUUCCGUCAAGUGGGGGCAACCCUGACGGAGCAACGCCGCGUGACGGAUGACGCCUCUUGGGGUGUAAACGUCUUUUGGCCGGGGGAGAGAACGGGACGGUACCCGGCGAAUCAGGACCGGCUAACUACGUGCCA
Molecule: ribosomal RNA, 467 nt
Filed under: uncultured bacterium
Lineage: Bacteria
Description: bacterial SSU rRNA
Rfam family: Bacterial small subunit ribosomal RNA
Source: RNAcentral